Long non-coding RNA from Passer domesticus (house sparrow), 1899 nucleotides. RefSeq lists it as uncharacterized. The record is from RefSeq and is a predicted model, not a curated record. The transcript is spliced from 2 exons. Lineage: Eukaryota; Metazoa; Chordata; Aves; Passeriformes; Passeridae.
AGAAUAAUUUUAUAUCUUAUCUUACUUUACACUGCAUUAUUCUUACCUAGAUUUCUUCAUGCUCGAGAUCUUUAUAAUAAUAUAAUGAUUAAAAUUUAUCAAAAUGUGAGAUUUAUUCCAGGAUAGAAUGUCAUCACAUUCCUUUAGAAUCACAUUCUAUUAUUCAAGUCAUAUGAGAAGAAAUCUGUUUUAUUUUCUGAGUGCUUCUCUCAACUUUUCUGGACAGCUUUACAGUGUUUUGGGGCUUUAAUGAUCUCCUGUGGAUUUUUAAAUGCCAUCAUGUUUUAGUAAUUGAAACAAACAAUAUUUAUGUUGGAGGUCUGUUGCUAAUGAUGUUACUGCUGGGGUCAGUGUCAGGUCCAGUCCCAUUCAACUUGUCAAAGACUUGGAUAGAGGGAAAGAGUGCACCCUCAGCGAGUUUGCAGUUGUUUCAGAACUUGGUGGAGUGGCUGACACACCAGGAGCCUGUGCUACUAUUCAGAGAGACAUGGACAGGGUGGAGACCCUAAUGAAUUUGACAGACGCAAGUGUGUAAUCCUAUACCUGGGGAGGAACAAUCCCAUUUACCAGUACAGGAAAUCAGCUCUGCACAGAAGGACCUGGGAGUCAUGAUGGUACAAAAGUCAGCCAUGGGCCAGCUGUGUGUCCUUGUGGUUGAGAAUGCCAAUGGUAUCCCAGGCUGUGUUAGGAAGAGCACUGCCAGCUGGUCAAGAGGUGAUUCUUCCCCUAUGCUUAGACCUGGAGAGGGCACAUCUGGAGUGCUGUGUCCAGUUCUGGGUUCCUCAGUACAGCAAAGACAAGGAACUACUGGAGAGGGCCCAGUGGAAGGCUAUGGAAAUAACUAGGGGAGUGGAGACCCUCUCUCCUGAGAAAAUGCUGAGAGUUGUGUCUGUUCAGCCUUGAGAAGAGAUGAAUGAGACAGGAUCUUGUCAAUGCCUAUAGAUGCAUUAUAAAGAGGAAGGGGCAGUCUUCAGUGACAUAGUCUUCAGUGACAGGACGAGGAGCAACAGGCACAAAUCAAAACACAGGAAGUUUGACCUGAAUAAGAAGAAGAACUUGAGAGUAACAGAGCACUGGAAUAGGCUGUCCAUAAAGAUUGUGAAAUCUUCUGCUCUGGAGAUAUUCAAAAGCCACCUGGAGCGGGUCUGUUCUUUUAGAAUGACGUUGAGCUACAUGAUCUUCAGUGGUCCUUCCAACCCUGACCAUUCUGUGAUCCUGUGAAAGGUACAAUUGAAAAGUUCUAUAUAAGAAUACACAAAAAAAAUGGAGCAAUAAAUCAUUAAUCUUCUUGUUCUUAUAUUGAUUAUUUUCCUGGAAACAAAUGAAUAAAUAUAAACUUAAAUCAGGUAAAUUAUUUCAUUAAAAUAUUAUUUUCUUAUAUUCGUCUGUGUUUCCUAUGUACUGGUAAAACAAGCCUGGAUGAGCUGGAACUUUCCACUGUGUAUCAGUGGCUCAUGUAAAUUUUUUAUGCUUUUCUUCAUGAUGAAAUGCAUUUGGUCAUGAAGGGAAAAAUAUGAAGUGCACGUGGCAACUAACAGAUGAGUUCAUCUGGAAUUUGAAAAUCAGUUUUUUGUUUACAAGGUCUUACUAAAACUUGCAGACACUUUUGAAAAAGUGCAUUGGAUGUAGCCACAAUGUCACUUAAUUAGCUGAUAACCUUCUAAAAUGGAAUCUCAUUUUCUAAUUUUCUCCUACUUUAAAGAAUAACAUUAUUCUAUUUUGCAGUUUUUACAAAUCCCUUCUAAUUGUCAUGCAGUAUGUUAGCUUCAAACACUUAUACCUUUAAUUGCUUUUACAUUGCCUCUACGUUGCAAACUCAAAAAAAAAAUAAAAUUACAAUCAAUAAUGUAGUGGUAACACGUCAACAUCUGUGAAAAACUAUCAAUCUUUCAUAAGAAA